RNAcentral lists this transfer RNA (65 nucleotides) under Apatides fortis. Its description in RNAcentral is "tRNA-Asn". Lineage: Eukaryota; Metazoa; Arthropoda; Insecta; Coleoptera; Bostrichidae. The record is from RNAcentral.
UUAAUUGAAACCAAAAAGAGGUGUAUCACUGUUAAUGAUAUCAAUGAGUUUAUACUCCAAUUAAA